Molecule: long non-coding RNA, 7889 nt
Organism: Sciurus carolinensis (gray squirrel)
Lineage: Eukaryota; Metazoa; Chordata; Mammalia; Rodentia; Sciuridae
Exons: 9
Source: RefSeq, a predicted model, not a curated record
CUGGAAAUAACUAUACCAUAAGAUGACUUAAAGUUCAGUGGCUGCAUUUGAUGACUGAGAAAAGUCCAGGUGGAAUAUUUGCCAAGAAAAGACUGACCUCUGAGAUGACUGCAUUCACUAUUUGAGAAAAUAUUUAUAAGGACUCCUGAGUAAGAGCACUUUUUGGCAUAUUGCCACUGAGGCAACUCCUGCCACUCAGGUAUGCUGCAGUGAAUCUAAUGAGUCUCCUGUGGCUUUGAACCAUGGUUUAAGGAUGACAUUCUGAGAAAGACUACUAAGGAAAAAAUUUUUACACUGUUGCCCAGGGGGGCAAUUUGCACCACCCAAGUGUCUGACAGUAAAUACGUGGCAUCUGGUUUGCUAUAGCACCAGUGUUUAAAGAUCCAUCUCUGGUAAUGAAGACCACUUUUUGGCUUGUUGACACUAGUACAGCUAAUAUGUCUAAGUAUCUGUCUUAUCUCCUGGCAACUUUCAAUCGUGGUUUAACAAUACCAUUACAACAGUAUUUGGAGGAUAGUGAGAAAUAAAUUAUUUUUCGAAUUUCACCGUAAGUCAAGGUUAAAAGCUAGAACAAGUUUUUGACUUCAGGGAAGAGAGUCUCACUGAGAUAGAAGAGCUAGAAUCUGGUCUUCCACUUCAGAAAUAAGGUACUCCAGGGAAAUGGCGAGAUGCUCUACAGGCUGGAGUCAUAUAUUUUUAUCUUCUCUGGAGGCUUUCCUCUUCUUCCAGUUUUUAUCUGCAAAGGAAAGGGAAUUACAGAAGAGGAUCCUGCCUUAUCAAGCUGCUGCAGCUGUAAAUAUGACAUUUUACCAGGGGUGAGGGUAAUGACUUUCUUUCCUGGAAUACAGCCUCCUGGGAAUCCCAAAUGAGAUUCCCUGGCUUGGAUACUAGCUUCCAACCUCUCCCGUCCUGACAGUUCUACACUGGAUGGUACUCAUCUGCUGGGUGCCUGGAUUCAGGCAGGAAGGCCACAUGCACAGGGUUAUUUUCAAGACAGCUUAUGGCUCAUUUCUUACACCGAACAUGUGUGGCCCGUGGGAAAUACCCACCUUGACCCCAUCACUGGCAAAAGUGCCAUUUAUUCAGCUUCCACAGGUCAUUUCAUGCAUAUCUUACCUUGGGACCCUUUCCACACUUUAGAGUCAAGUACCAUUCCUGUGUUCUCCAACAUCUAAAGAUCUCAGGUCAAGGUGCUGAAGUAGUUAAUUUGAAACAUAUGCUGCUGGGCUUAAGAACCAGAAACUCCCAUCUCAUUCUGAGACCAGUAUUACUCUGAUACCAAAACCAGACACAAAGAUAUAACAAGAAAACUACAGACCAAUAUCCUUUAUGAAUAUAGAUGCAAAUAUUCUAAACAAAAUACUAGCAAACCAAAUCCAGCAGCAUAGAAAAUGGUUUAUGUAGCAUAGACAAGUGGGAUUAUUCCAGGAAUGCAAGGUUGGUUCAAUAUACAAAAAUCCAUCAAUGUAAUACAACAUAUCAAUAGAAUAAAGGACAAAAACUACAUGACAACCUUAAUAGAUACAGAAGAAGCAUUUGACAAAGUCCAAUACCCUUUUUUGAUAAAAACACUCAACAAACUAGGAAUAGAUGGGAAUUUCCUUAACUUGGAAGCAUCUAUGAAAAACCCACAGCUAACAUCAUACUUAAUGGUGAAAGACUGAAUGCUUUCCCCCUAAAAUCAGGAACAAGAAAAAGAUUUCCACUCUUGCCACUUCUAUUCAAUAUUGUACGGAGGUGCUAGCCAGGGCACUUAGGCAAGAAAAUGAAAUAAAAAGAAUUCAGACUGGAAAGGAAGUAAAAGUAUUUCUAUUCACAGAUACAUGAUCUUGUUUAUAGAAAAUCCUAAGGAAUCAAAAAAAUUAGAAUAAAUGAGUUCAGAAUAGCUAUAGUAUACAGGGUCAAUACAUAAAAAUCAAUUAUAUUUCUAGAUCUAGCAAUGAAUAAUCCAAAAAUGAAAAUUUAGAAAACAAUUGUCUGUAAUAGCAUUAAAAAGAAUAAAACACUUGGAAAACUUUUAACCAAAGAGGUCAAGACUUAUACACUGAAAUCUAUAAAACAUCAUUGAAAGAAACUAAAGACCUAAACAAAUGGAAAGACACUCCACAUUCAUGAAUUGAAAAAUUUAAUACUGUUAAAAUAGCAACAUUCCUCAAACUGAUCUAUAUAUUCAACACAAUCACUAUCAAAAUCCCAGGUGCUUGUUUUGCAGAAAUUAACAAGUUGAUCCUAAAAUUCAUGUGGAAUACAAGGGACCCAGAAUAGACAAAAUGAUCUUGAAAUAGAACAGAGUCAGAACUCAUACAUCCCAAAUUCAAAACUUACUACAAAGCUAUAGUAAUCCAAACAGUGUGGUAACUGGCAUAAGGAUAGACAUAUAGAACAAUGGAAUAAAACUGAGAGUCCAAAAUUAAAGUCUUAUAUUUAUGGUCAAUUGUUUUUUGACAAGGGUGCCAAGACCAUUCAUGAGGAAAUAAUAAGUCUUUUCAACAGUUGUUGCUUGUAUGACUAGAUAUCGACAUACCAAAAAGAUGAAACUGGAUCCCUACAAUGCACCACAUGCAAAAAAUGGAUCAAAGACCUAAAUAUAAGAAUUAAAACUAUAAGAUGCUUAAAAGAUAUAACCAAGAGAAAUGAAAACGUAGGUCCACAUAAAAACUUGUACACAAAUGUUCAUAGUUGUAAUAUUCAUAAUAGCCAAGAAGCAGAAACAACGCAAGUAUCCAUCAACUGAGUAGAUAAACAAAAUACAGUAUAUCAAUACAAUGACAUUAUUCAGCCACAAAAAGAAACGAGGUACUGAUAAACAUGCUACAACAUGGAUGCACUUUGAAAACAUUACUUCGAGUGGGAGGAAGAAAAAAAGACACAAAGGCCACAUAUUGUAUAAUUCCAUUGAUAUGAAAUGUCCACAACAGGCAAAUCCAUAGGCAGAAAGUAGAUUAGUGGUUGCCAGGGGCUGGGGAUUAAGAACAGUGAUGAAAAUGCUCUGGAAUUAUAUAAUGAUGACAAUUGCACAAUUCUGUGAAUAUACUAAGAACCACACAUUUUACAAUUUGAAAAGGGUGAAUUUUAUGGUAUGUGAAUUAUAUCAAUUAAACAAUGAUGAGGGAAAGCACUCCUCUUCCAUUUUCAGAUGGAGGAGGGAAGGUCAAUUCUUGCUCAACAAAUCUUUAUUACAAACAUUUCCAACCUCUCAGUAGACUUUCCUUUCUCUUAUUUUUCUGGCAAAUAUUGGGAGAACCCAUCUGUCUCUCAGGAUGUCUUGCAAGAUGUUAUCUAGCAUAUGUAUCUCAAUUUCUUUGAAUCAUGACAACCAGUGAUAAGGUAGGAUUGGGUAUAAUCCAAGCCAAGGGAAUGGCAGGGCCAGGACCGAAAACCAGAGUCAUCUGACUCUGAAGGCUGCACCCUCAACCACUGUGUACUGUUUCCCAGAUACAUCCAAUCCUAUUUUCUCUGGUUUCCUAGGGACAAGAAGGUAAUUAGAAUAAUUAUCCCAGGUCCUGCUUAGUUGAGUCUAAGAAUCUUGAUUUGAUGUUUGAUUUUUGGCAAUGGGAAAAUGACAGAUUUUAAGAUUGAUGUGGGUCCAGCUCCCCUGUUCAUCUAUUUACUGGGUGUGGGACUUUGGGCAAGGUGUCAAGUCACAGUGAUCUAUUCUAUGAAAAUGAAAGAUCAUGUAUACAAGGCUGUGCACUAUAACUCCCUUCAGAACCUAAAGGAAUUCAACUUAGAGUAUAAGAAAAUGCUAAAUAUGUCUCUCAUACAGAAGGCACUCACCAUGGUGAAUGCUUCAUUUAGUAGAGAGAGCAGUGUUCGGCUGAGGGGUUAAGGAUCUGAGAAUCACUCCUUGAUAAGCAUGAGUGGCUGGCAACAGCACAAUGGUGUAAGAUCUCAGCCCCUAUUUCCACAGGGAGAGAAGGGAAGAGUGUAGAUACAGAGAGGCUUCUGGUUGCCAGUGUACCAGAAGAGGGAAAAGUUACAUAAAAAUCUUGCUUUUAAGGGCCUUUUCAUACCUCUUAUUGAUCUUCCUUUCCACAGGCUAAAAUGAUAAGAGUCAAUGAUUUCAGGGAGCCUCCUCACUGGGGAACAAAUUCUUAACCAUUAAAAAUUCAAAUAUUUUUAAAAAUUUUAAUCAAAGUUUUGUCAAGAUUGUGGAAGGAUUAACAAAUUAAGCACCUACUAUUUUUGAGAGACAUAAAGACUUAGAGAAACACAAUCCCCACCAAGAAUUUGUUUUUAUUCCAGGUAACAGUUAUAAAAAAAAUAAACAGAAGCUUCAAAAACAAAGCUAUAAUGUAGAAAGGAUCUUAUCAAGAUUAGCCUGAAACACUCCUUAAGAAUUCUAAAUCCUCGCUGUUCAAAUAAUUCCCCACCAUUCUGUGCUACCAUAGAUGUGUGGGCUGCUAUGAGGUUAUGGAGGCACUUGGGCAGGGGAGGGGGUAUUCAAUGCAGUCUUUAUGGACAAAGUGCAUUUAAAAUUUGGUCUUGAAGGAUAUUUGAGAAAUAUAAAAUCAUUGGGUCUAUGACAAGUGAAAAUGCUGAGUAGGAGUGUGCAUGUGGAGAGAGGUGCCUGUAAUACAAGAACUGAGAAGGUAGGUUGGGCUCAGUCUGUGGUGAACACAGGAUGCCAGACCUGGAUGUUUAUUCAAUGAACAGGUUUUUGGAUGGAGGGUAAAAGUAGGAAAACUGUUAUUUCAGCAGAAUUAAAAGGUUGACAAUAAGAAGUUAGAGUCAGGGAGACAAGUUAGGAAGGAACUAAGAACAUCCGUUGGGUUAGAGGAUCAAGGAAUGAAAGGAAGCCUAAUUGAGUAACAAUGGGAAAGAUCUGAGAUAAAAGAAGGGACAAAGGAUGAGAGAUUUUGAUGACUUAGGACAAAGGUGACACUUUUAAGAAAGCAGUAAAGAAUGGCUGCUAGAGAUGUAAGUUUAAGAGUUUUGUUUUUAGGUAUACUGGCUUUGAGCACCAAAAAGAUAACCUAGAGCUAGAGGUCUGAGCAGAAGGUAUGGAACUGGAGAAGAAUCUUUGGGAAGUGCUGAGGCUAACCAAAGAGAAUGGGACAGGUUCAGAUAAGAACUUUAGAACUGAAGGAGUAUCCAACCAAGACUUGGAUGAGUUGCUAUGGAAAAAGGAGCAGUUAGAGAAGAAGUAGCUCAAGUUUUGGGUGCUGCCACAGUUUAAAGGUAAGAGCUCUUGAUUUCGGCAAUUAAGAGAUUAUGAACAUCCUUGAGCAGUGCACCUUCAGUGAAACAGCACUGGAUUAACGCCCUUUCUCAUAAUGAAAUCCAGUCCAUGUAUUCAACAAAAUCUUCUUGCAGUGAUUGUUACAAAUAUCAAUCCACUGUCUUGAACAGGAAAGGGAAAAAAGGCUUGGUACUUUCUACACUUAUAAACCCUCUCCUCCCCAGACAAGACGAUUCUUACACACUUAACAUUGUGGAUAAAAGGUUGCUAGACCAAGAAAGGGAGCAAGUGAAAUUUGUGUAUUUUUAUUCUUUGGUGCCCCAGGGAAGGAUGGGAAAGGUACAGAUAGUCCUUAGAGGUUGAUGGAAGGACAGAAAAAUAUUUUUGAGGUAAGCAGGUAAAAGGGAAUCAAGAUUACAGAAAGAAUAGCUUUGGGAAGACACUUCUUCCUCUGGCAGUUUGUAUGGAUUCUUAGGAAGAUCCUUAAAAAGAGCUUGGAAUCUCAGCACAGCCAUGUUUUUAUGGGAAAAGGGAAUGAUGCUGCACAUUACAACCACUGUCCUUUCCAAUAAGAUGCCCGUGCCAAGGGAGAAUGAAUAACAUUAGUAAAUUUUGUUUAUUUAAAGCCUUAUUUUCAAGUUUCUUUUUGACAUGUAUCUCCCUCUAUAGUCAUGUAUCCCAAACUAAAGUUAAAGAAACUGUAAGUGGAUUUCAUCACACAAUUAACCACAGCCCAGUGCAGGGUCAGGACAUUCAAUUCAUUUGCUGGAGAUUCCAGGCUCCACAAAGUCUGGUUGCAGGCUGUGUUUUUAUGCUUUAUGUUUGAAAUAUUCUACAGUAAUACUAAAAGAAGCUUACAUUUUAUUUUAAAAGCCAACUUUAAUUUACAAUUUAACAUGCCCCAAGAGCUUCCUGGAGAUUGUGGGCCAAUUGAAAGAAACCCAAAAUUUACAAGCAUAUCUAGCCAAAAAAGUACUUUUAUAAUCUAACAUCUGGGGUAUAGGAAGUAGCUACUACAUUUAAAAUUUAUAUUGUUUUCCUCUUUCUUAAGAUACUGUUCAGUGAUGUUCUAAUAAACAAUAGUGAAAAGGAAAUAACAGAAGUGAUAAUAUGCCCAGAAUAAUUGAUUACUAAGUAUUAAGCAAGAGCAAUUAAUUUCUAAGAUCAUUUUUUGUCUUAAAAAUUUUUUAAGGAUAGUUUUAUUUUUGAUUCUGUUAAGUCUAUUUUCUAUUUGAUGUGAAUUAUGAAUCUGAUAACCUAUACCUGAUUAUCAUUUUAAGACUUUUCACACAGACAUGCUAUUACAAUUGUAGAAGUUCAAUACUGUUGUGAUAAUAAAACUUGAGAACUGAAGAGCACAAAUUUCUUCAUGAAUUUAUUAUAUAAAAUGUCCCCAGAGCAUUUAAUUUCUCCUCACUUUCAUAAUACAUAAGAAGCACAGUGGAUGAGAGGCCUUUUAAAAUGACUAUAGUCACACAAGGGUCCCUUGCAUCAAGGUAGUAUACACAUACCUUUAACAGGGUACUUAUAGGCUGGCCCAGAAAAACCCCAUGUUACCUUAUCACAAUAUGGAAAGCAUUUUCUUUUUUCCACUAAACUAUGGUGAAAAAUGCCACUGUUUUAUUUAGCAUCACAGUACAUAACAAUUCUGUUUCAAUUACUAAAAGAAUUAAAAAUAAUCCUGAAAGACAUCCUUUUUCCCCUCCAAUGAUUUGAAAGCUGUAUUUUUCCUGCCAAUUUCAAACAAAUCAUCAGGUUGAUCUCCAGUAAUCAGUUAAAACAAUCAUCAAGGCACAAGCUCAGCACAUUAGCUGUAGCUUGCAGUAAAAUGAUAUAUCGAUAUGUCUCUCCUUAGUUAAAAAUACAUAAUCCUUUUAUUUUAUAAUGUAAUAAAAGAAAUUAACAUCACAGACACAGAAUACUAGGAAAAGGGAAACUACUACUUUAAAUAUCCAGAAACUUAAACCUACUUGUACUUUUCUGUGGUACAUGAAAGUAAUCUUUAACACUUACUUUUUGAAGUAAAAUUUAAUCUUUGGGGAUAUACAAUGUAAUUCUUAGGAGUAAUAUCUCCAUUCAUUUCCAGGCCUGCUUACUAUAUGACUAAGUAACACAAGGCACAGCAGCCAUCCUUUCCAUUACGCUGCAACACUGAUCAUGUGCCUUGAUAAAAUAGCUGAUUAAACAAAAUGAUGGCAACAUGAAGGGGAGACUUUGGAUUGUCUAUUUAAAAUCUAGGUAAUAAUUAAUAAAAAGUUUAUUUAAGUGCACUUUCACAUGCUUUUUGUUUAUAAUAAACAACAAACUUACUAACUUUGACUACCAUAUCAUUUGGCCAAAUGCACUUUCCCCAGUAAACUUAAAACAACAAGAACAACAACAACAACAAAAAAUCCCUGUCCUUUUAUAUACUAAGAAAGAGGAUUGGCUACUAAACAAUUCAUUGCAAGACACGUGAAGACGACAUACUGUGGCAUGAGUUGUUUUUAAUUUGUUGUGCUGUUACUAAAGUAAAGUUCUGAGGGCUGCAGUUCAAACAUUCCAAGUUCUCCCUUCUGUCUUUAUUGAUUCCCAAGAUUUUGCACAGAAAACUCUUUGGGGGCUAGAACAGCAGUACUUGCAUCACACUGUUUCCAAGACUUCAAGUUUAAAAAGCAAAUCUUUAAAAAAAAAAAAAAAAAAAAAAUACAGUUCCUGAUUUGAGUUA